UGGGGAAUAUUGCACAAUGGGCGCAAGCCUGAUGCAGCCAUGCCGCGUGUGUGAAGAAGGCCUUCGGGUUGUAAAGCACUUUCAGCGGGGAGGAAGGCGAUAAGGUUAAUAACCUUGUCGAUUGACGUUACCCGCAGAAGAAGCACCGGCUAACUCCGUGCCAGCAGCCGCGGUAAUACGGAGGGUGCAAGCGUUAAUCGGAAUUACUGGGCGUAAAGCGCACGCAGGCGGUCUGUCAAGUCGGAUGUGAAAUCCCCGGGCUCAACCUGGGAACUGCAUUCGAAACUGGCAGGCGAGAGUCUUGUAGAGGGGGGUAGAAUUCCAGGUGUAGCGGUGAAAUGCGUAGAGAUCUGGAGGAAUACCGGUGGCGAAGGCGGCCUCCUGGACAAAGACUGACGCUCAGGUGCGAAAGCGUGGGGAGCAAACAGG
Molecule: ribosomal RNA, 429 nt
Filed under: Chloroflexota bacterium
Lineage: Bacteria; Bacillati; Chloroflexota
Description: Chloroflexi bacterium partial 16S ribosomal RNA
Rfam family: Bacterial small subunit ribosomal RNA
Source: RNAcentral